Molecule: ribosomal RNA, 339 nt
Filed under: Triticum aestivum (bread wheat)
Lineage: Eukaryota; Viridiplantae; Streptophyta; Magnoliopsida; Poales; Poaceae
Description: partial small subunit ribosomal RNA
Source: RNAcentral
AUGGUCCGUGCAGAUGUUAUAGCAGCAGUUAAGGAAUUCUUUAACUCAGGUAUCAUGCCGGAUUCUGUUAAUGAUACAAUCAUUGUUCUGAUUCCGAAAAUUCCAAAUCCGGUUAAAUUAAUAGAUUUUUUCCCUAGCCUUUGUAAUGUUAUCUAUGAAGUUGUUGCUAAGUUCCUGGUGAAUAGACUGAGACUUGUACUCGAUGAUAUUGUUUCUCCUACUCAGGGUACAUUUAUUCCGGGUAGAAUGAUCACAGAUAAUGUCUUAAUUGCAUUUGAGUGCAUUCAUUAUAUCAAGCAAGAGAAGGACCCAGAAGAAGGCUUAUGUGCUCACAAGAUU